CUCCUUAGCCAAGCACAUACUACCAUCUGUGGGAUUAUGACUGAACGCCUCUAAGUCAGAAUCCCGCCUAGAUGAAGCGAUACCGAAGCGCCG
This is a long non-coding RNA of Thalassophryne amazonica, 93 nucleotides long. RefSeq lists it as uncharacterized. Lineage: Eukaryota; Metazoa; Chordata; Actinopteri; Batrachoidiformes; Batrachoididae. The record is from RefSeq and is a predicted model, not a curated record. The transcript is spliced from 3 exons.